This is a long non-coding RNA of Zophobas morio, 259 nucleotides long. RefSeq lists it as uncharacterized. NCBI's taxonomy places the organism in Eukaryota, Metazoa, Arthropoda, Insecta, Coleoptera, Tenebrionidae. The transcript has 3 exons. The record is from RefSeq and is a predicted model, not a curated record.
GUAAGGGGCUUGAAUUUUAAUAGACCUGAUUAUUAUCACAAAUGAGAGAUUGAAAUAAUCAAAACUUACGGUUAUGAAUUAUGUUAAAAGUGGUCCGUCACCUACCAAACUUGAAAACUAUUUAUAUAGGAACAAUUAUUGGCUCCAGGCUCUGGUUCUAGCUCUUUCAUUGCUUUUCGGAAUAUUCCUUAUCCUUGGAGGGAUUAGUGUGCUCUUUCUUGUUAGCAAUUAUAAGAGAGCUAGUGAUGCCCUCUCUAAA